Long non-coding RNA from Choloepus didactylus (southern two-toed sloth), 1649 nucleotides. RefSeq lists it as uncharacterized. Lineage: Eukaryota; Metazoa; Chordata; Mammalia; Pilosa; Megalonychidae. The transcript is spliced from 3 exons. The record is from RefSeq and is a predicted model, not a curated record.
ACUGGAAGAAGCUAGAAGUCAGUGGAAACUGGAAGAGCAGACAAAGAGGGUAAGGAUCGCACGUGAUGGGAUGCAAGUCAAGGAACCUCAAGGGUUGCAGCAAGCCAGCACCAGAAUGCCAUACAGCCUAUGGGGGAGAAGACAUGGUCUUGCCAAUGCCUCAAUUUGGAACUUCUAGCCUCCAAAACUGAAUUGAGAAUUCUGCUCCCUGAGACAACUAGACAACUGUUCCUAAAUGGUCCUGUUUCCAGUCACUGGUUUCAGAGGAUUUCUGAUUGCUCAUGACAACUCUAACCCUAAGAGGAUCCAGUCUCUGGAAUGUUGAUGCAUCUUCUUCAGUUUUCUACAGUGCACGUGUUAUAUAUCUAUCAUCUAGGGGGAAACGUGUUUCUUAACAAAAAUGAAAGGUCCCCCCUCCUCAGGACAAUUUGUGUUCUUACCAGUCAGGAAGCACAAUGCUCAUCCUUAUUUGCUUUUGCAAGGAUGCCACCUCUGUUGACCUUCCUGUUGGGCAAAAGAAAGUAAAAUGUCCCCUUUAUAAAGUGCAUUUCAUAGUUUAAUGACUCUCAAGGACUCAUUUCAUGUUCUUCCUGAGUGAUUAACACAAAAGCAAGAGCUCCAGGGCCAGGGUUUCAGGUCACCCAGACAGCAUGCCCUGUAGGUUCUUUCCCUUUCCACCAAGACCAGAGUAUUAGUUUCCUCUGGCUGCAGUGACAAAUCACCCUAAACUUGCUGGCUUAAAACAACACAGAUUUAUUAUCUUACAGUUCCAGGGGUCAAACAUCUGAAAUGGGUUUCACUGGGCUAAGCUCAAAAUGUCACCAGGCCUGUAUUUCUUCUGGAGGUUCUAGGGGAGACUCUUUCCUUGCCUUUUCCAGCUUCUCAAGGCUGCCUGCAUUCCUUGGCUCAUGGCCUCCUCCCAUCUUCAAAGCCAGCAGUGUAGCAUCUUCAGCUCUCUGCUUUCCAUCUUCACAUCAUUUUCUCUGACUUUGACCUUCUUGCCUUCGUCUUAUAAGGACCCUUAUGGAGCCCACCUGGAUAAUCCCAGAUAAUCUCCCCCAUCUCAAAAUCCUUGACUUAAUCAUAUCUGCAAAGUCCCUUUGCCAUAUAAGGUAACAUAUUCACAAAUUCUGGGGAUUAGGACAUGGGCAUCUUUGGGGGCCAGUAUUCUGUCUCCUACCACCAGGUUAAAUAAAAUGGCUUGAAACUGGAGUGUUCACCUCUCUAGCAUUACAGGCAUAGUGGUUUGAAAACUGCACUGUUCCUAAUUAGCUCUCCCAAAUGUGUAUGGGCCUGUGCAUUUUCCACUAGGGGAAAAUAAUUCAUUAAUAAUAAGAUCACUUUGUCACUCAUUAGUCACUAACACUGGCUAAAGUUUAAUCAAUGAGAAGUGUAAUCUAAUCUUACGCUUACUAUGCAAUGCUACAUCAUCGCAAAAAUGUAGUUGAUGUGCAAAAACAUACAUAAAUAUAUGCUAGAGGACCUGUGGUGGCCAUCAGGCUUCCUUUCUAUUGUUAUCUCUUUUGCUAUUGCUAUGUGAAUGCAAGGAGCUAAAGAAGAGAGUUUCUGGGCUCAAAAAAUUAAGGGGCUAUUAUAACUUAUUUUGUUUUUAUUUUAGAAUUUUUUAAGUUACUCAAGUAAUAUAACAU